UGUCGGACGCAUGUGAUCUUGACACCAAGUGUAACAGCCUUGUACGAAAGGAAAAAUGUAGCAUCGUUCAAUUGAGGGCUGAAUGUAGCAGCACACCAGGGCUCCUCCCGCUAUUAGAGAGAGAACGUGUGCAUGCCGAGGGGUGUUUCUGACACAGCUUCAAUGACCAAAAUGUUGAGGUCUCCGCAGCAUGUCAGGAGAAUUUCAUGCUGCCAAGAUACGAUUUGAUUGUAUGCAAGGCCCACACAAUCUUUGAGUGCUGCCCUUGAGCUCAAUCGAGGAGGAUGGUGUUUAGAGUUGACAUGACCCUGAAGCACCUGGAAAAACACUCCGCAUCUCUUGUGGACCUUCUUUCCAAUUCCACUGGUCGGACUUUGGACACCCUAUACGCUACAUUUGUACAUCGGUGAGACGCAGAGAUCUCAUCCGUUUCCAAGGAAAGCUGACGUGUAGUGAGAGAAGAAAAUAGGUUGACAGUCUCUGCUUAGUAUCUACCUUGCCUUAUGGACGUAUUUGCUAGUGGUAUGUAUUAGCUGAAAGUCCAACGAGAAACCCCCUGCAUGCAUGAGCUGUGGGACUGCCCUGCAGGAUUGGCAUCAGUGAACCCUUCUUCAAGCGUGGUUGGGGCGAUCUCGGCGUUGUCAAUUUCGAAGAUGCGGCCGAACUGCUCGAAGGCUGGCCUCCCGAGCAUUUCGACUUCAAGG
This 704-nucleotide long non-coding RNA is filed under the name Coccomyxa subellipsoidea. RNAcentral describes it as "long non-coding RNA (CSUB_LNC000142)". Lineage: Eukaryota; Viridiplantae; Chlorophyta; Trebouxiophyceae; Coccomyxaceae. The record is from RNAcentral.